CCAUCUUCAGAUCAUUAAAUGCAAACUUUCGAAGCCGAGAAGAAACUUUAAGUUCCUCUUCAAGUUUGGAGGUGGAUGAAUUACUUUCAGCAUUACUAGUAGUUGUAGAUGAAAUAAUUGGAGCAACAGGUUGAUCUCUGCUUGUCCCUUCACCAAGAAGGGAUUCUGGUCUAAAGUUUCUUGUUGCCAUCUUCAGAUCGUUAAAUGCAAACUUUCGAAGCCGAGAAGAAACUUUAAGUUCCUCUUCAAGUUUGGAGGUGGAUGAAUUACUUUCAGCAUUACUAGUAGUUGUAGAUGAAAUAAUUGGAGCAACAGGUUGAUCUCUGCUUGUGUCAUUCGUAGAUUUACUCUCUGCAAAAAAGGAUUAGAAUAUAGGCAGAUUUAUUCUUUUAAAUAGAAAGAUAAGAAGUUAAAGCAUGUCAAUUUUU
This 428-nucleotide long non-coding RNA is filed under the name Nicotiana benthamiana. RNAcentral's name for it is "long non-coding RNA (NBEN_LNC035779)". Lineage: Eukaryota; Viridiplantae; Streptophyta; Magnoliopsida; Solanales; Solanaceae. The record is from RNAcentral.